RNAcentral lists this ribosomal RNA (303 nucleotides) under uncultured bacterium. Its description in RNAcentral is "partial 16S ribosomal RNA". It matches the Rfam family "Bacterial small subunit ribosomal RNA", at positions 507 to 807 of the family's 1533-position model. The record is from RNAcentral.
AGCAGUCGCCGCGGGAAUACAGAGGGUGCGAGCGUUAAUCGGAUUUACUGGGCGUAAAGCGUGCGUAGGCGGCUUCUUAAGUCGGAUGUGAAAUCCCUGAGCUUAACUUAGGAAUUGCAUUUCGAUACUGGGAAGCUAGAGUAUGGGAGAGGAUGGUAGAAUUCCAGGUGUAGCGGUGAAAUGCGUAGAGAUCUGGAGGAAUACCGAUGGCGAAGGCAGCCAUCUGGCCUAAUACUGACGCUGAGGUACGAAAGCAUGGGGAGCAAACAGGAUUAGAUACCCCCGUAGUCCCUGUCUCUUUAC